AUUGAACGCUGGCGGCAUGCCCUACACAUGCAAGUCGAACGGUAACAGGUUAAGCUGACGAGUGGCGAACGGGUGAGUAAUAUAUCGGAACGUGCCCAGUCGUGGGGGAUAACGUAGCGAAAGCUACGCUAAUACCGCAUACGAUCUACGGAUGAAAGCGGGGGAUCGCAAGACCUCGCGCGAUUGGAGCGGCCGAUAUCAGAUUAGGUUGUUGGUGAGGUAAAAGCUCACCAAGCCUGCGAUCUGUAGCUGGUCUGAGAGGACGACCAGCCACAGUGGGACUGAGACACGGCCGAGACUCCUACGGGAGGCAGCAGUGGGGAAUGUUGGACAAUGGGGGCAACCCUGAUCCAGCAAUGCGGCGUGCAGGAAGAAGGCCUUCGGGUUGUAAACUGCUUUUGGACGGAACGAAACGGUCUGGGUUAAUACCCUGGGCUAAUGACGGUACCGUAAGAAUAAGCACCGGCUAACUACGUGCCAGCCGCCGCAGUAA
This 493-nucleotide ribosomal RNA is filed under the name uncultured bacterium. RNAcentral's name for it is "partial 16S ribosomal RNA". It matches the Rfam family "Bacterial small subunit ribosomal RNA", at positions 30 to 523 of the family's 1533-position model. The record is from RNAcentral.